CAUCAACAAGGUUAUCACAUUAACCUUGCCUUGUCAAAAAGACAUCAACACUGAUUAUCAAACACGGUCAACAAUUAUCAAGUAUAAACAUAGAAACAUUAUCAUGAUAAUUGGCUUAGAAGUUUUUGCCCAAACCUUCUUUGUACCAAAACAUCAUUAUAGAGAAACUGAAAGAGAAGAAGGUAGGAAGGUAAGAAACCCUCACUAUCAUUUUUUCUAAACACCCACAUAUGAACAAUCCCCCUCCCUUACUUCGAAAGUUUGAAGAUCGUUCAACUUUCUUGUUUUUGAGAUUUUUCCUUGUUCUUUGAAUCCUCCUAGACAUGUCUCUAUCUUUCCGCCUCUUUUCCUAAUUUUUGCACGUCCUCCCCAAAAGCUUUCUUC
RNAcentral lists this long non-coding RNA (384 nucleotides) under Lathyrus oleraceus (garden pea). RNAcentral describes it as "Pisum sativum (pea) long non-coding RNA (PSAT_LNC032462)". The record is from RNAcentral. Lineage: Eukaryota; Viridiplantae; Streptophyta; Magnoliopsida; Fabales; Fabaceae.